CUGUCAGAAGGCUGACCUGGACCAUACCAUGCGUGGUGAAGCAUGUGUAACAAAUGUUCGCACAUUUGGAGUACUGUGCCGGGAAGAGGACGUGCUGUCCCUGAAGGAUGUCCGAGCGGAGACACCGCAGCGUCCUGUCAACAGCAGAUAAACACUACUUCACCUAAGAGACUUUAGUAUCCAAUUCUUCGUUGACCUUCAGCAUUCAGUUGUUUGUCUUCACCUUUUCAGGCUAAAACCUGAGAAGCCAUCACCAUGUUGUUGUUUCACAUCAGAGUUUCCUGUGUCCAGCAUCUUCAAGACAGACUAAGCUAACUUUUCAUAUUUUGUCCACAUUUAUAUUUAGGUUAGGUUAGGUUUAUAGUAGAGUACUUAGUUUGUAUAGUUUAGCGUUUUAUGCUGGUCUAGGGACAGUUAAGUUAGCAAAUGAAUUUAGUUCAGAUCACUUACAAUUGCAUGUUAUUGUUACAAUUGUGUUAUUUUGUGAGUUAUUGUUGUACAGGCUAUUGUAUAUUGCAGGACCAAGUGAGACGAGGAAGACCACUGUUUCCAAGAUGCCGCUCAGAAAGUGCGUUGGACAAGUCUCGACCUUGCAGAUCCUGCCCCACUUAGCCCAACCACUUCCGACCAUGGGGUACCUCAAAGACCUCCGUCAACCAGCCGGCUGUGGAUGAUGGAUAACGCACCCACAACUCCUUCUCCAGGCUACAAGGUUCUGAAUAUACAGACACCCCCACAGUCCAAGAACAGCUGGAUGACCUCUGGACCCACUUGCCCCCGUUCACCAGUUGAAAAGAUAAGCUUUUUAAAAAAUUCUUCAAUUGUUAAUUCUGCACAAAGUGAUACACAAAACAUUGUCUGUAUUCCAUUUCAACAAACACAAACAUGAAAUGUAUAUUUAAAUACAUGACUUAAUGCAAGUCAAUCAUCUUUUUUUUUUUAAAACCAACCA
Long non-coding RNA from Centropristis striata (black sea bass), 952 nucleotides. RefSeq lists it as uncharacterized. NCBI's taxonomy places the organism in Eukaryota, Metazoa, Chordata, Actinopteri, Perciformes, Serranidae. The record is from RefSeq and is a predicted model, not a curated record. The transcript is spliced from 5 exons.